This 500-nucleotide ribosomal RNA is filed under the name uncultured Chromatiales bacterium. Its description in RNAcentral is "bacterial SSU rRNA". It matches the Rfam family "Bacterial small subunit ribosomal RNA", at positions 35 to 526 of the family's 1533-position model. The record is from RNAcentral. Lineage: Bacteria; Pseudomonadati; Pseudomonadota; Gammaproteobacteria; Chromatiales.
GCUGGCGGCAUGCCUAACACAUGCAAGUCGAACGGUAACGCAAGAAGCUUGCUUCUUGGCGACGAGUGGCGGACGGGUGAGUAAUGCUUAGGAAUCUGCCCAGUAGUGGGGGACAACUCGAGGAAACUCGAGCUAAUACCGCAUACGCCCUAAGGGGGAAAGCGGGGGAUCUUCGGACCUCGCGCUAUUGGAUGAGCCUAAGUCGGAUUAGCUUGUUGGUAGGGUAACGGCCUACCAAGGCGACGAUCCGUAGCUGGUCUGAGAGGACGAUCAGCCACACUGGGACUGAGACACGGCCCAGACUCCUACGGGAGGCAGCAGUGGGGAAUAUUGGACAAUGGGGGCAACCCUGAUCCAGCAAUGCCGCGUGUGUGAAGAAGGCCUGCGGGUUGUAAAGCACUUUCAGUAGAGAAGAAAAGCUUACGGUUAAUACCUGUGAGUCUUGACGUAACCUACAGAAGAAGCACCGGCUAACUCCGUGCCAGCAGCCGCGGUAAUAC